UGCAGUCGAGCGGAACGAGUUAACUGAACCUUCGGGGAACGUUAACGGCGUCGAGCGGCGGACGGGUGAGUAAUGCCUAGGAAAUUGCCCUGAUGUGGGGGAUAACCAUUGGAAACGAUGGCUAAUACCGCAUAAUNCCUUCGGCUCAAAGAGGGGGACCUUCGGGCCUCUCGCGUCAGGAUAUGCCUAGGUGGGAUUAGCUAGUUGGUGAGGUAAGGGCUCACCAAGGCGACGAUCCCUAGCUGGUCUGAGAGGAUGAUCAGCCACACUGGAACUGAGACACGGUCCAGACUCCUACGGGAGGCAGCAGUGGGGAAUAUUGCACAAUGGGCGCAAGCCUGAUGCAGCCAUGCCGCGUGUGUGAAGAAGGCCUUCGGGUUGUAAAGCACUUUCAGUCGUGAGGAAGGUUNNNNNGUUAAUAGCNNANNNAUUUGACGUUAGCGACAGAAGAAGCACCGGCUAA
Molecule: ribosomal RNA, 463 nt
Filed under: Vibrio sp. G13.61.2
Lineage: Bacteria; Pseudomonadati; Pseudomonadota; Gammaproteobacteria; Vibrionales; Vibrionaceae
Description: partial 16S ribosomal RNA
Rfam family: Bacterial small subunit ribosomal RNA
Source: RNAcentral